Molecule: ribosomal RNA, 390 nt
Filed under: uncultured delta proteobacterium Sva0853
Lineage: Bacteria; Deltaproteobacteria
Description: bacterial SSU rRNA
Rfam family: Bacterial small subunit ribosomal RNA
Source: RNAcentral
GGAUUUUCUCUUCGGAGGCUGGAGACAGGUGCUGCAUGGCUGUCGUCAGCUCGUGUCGUGAGAUGUUGGGUUAAGUCCCGCAACGAGCGCAACCCUUGUCCUUAGUUGCCAGCACGUCAAGGUGGGAACUCUAAGGAGACUGCCGGUGUUAAGCCGGAGGAAGGUGGGGAUGACGUCAAGUCCUCAUGGCCUUUAUAUCCAGGGCUACACACGUGCUACAAUGGUACCUACAAAGAGUAGCAAUACCGCGAGGUGGAGCGAAUCUCAAAAAAGGUAUCUCAGUUCGGAUCGCAGUCUGCAACUCGGCNGCGNGAAGUUGGAAUCGCUAGUAAUCGUAGAUCAGCGUGUACGGUGAAUUCGUUCCCGGGCCUUGUACACACCGCCCGUCUC